This 392-nucleotide ribosomal RNA is filed under the name uncultured bacterium. Its description in RNAcentral is "bacterial SSU rRNA". It matches the Rfam family "Bacterial small subunit ribosomal RNA", at positions 28 to 420 of the family's 1533-position model. The record is from RNAcentral.
GACGAACGCUGGCGGCGUGCUUAACACAUGCAAGUCGAGCGGUAAGGCCCUUUCGGGGUACGACGAGCGGCGAACGGGUGAGUAACACGUGGGUGACCUGCCCUCCAGCUCUGGGAUAAGCCUGGGAAACCGGGUCUAAUACUGGAUAUGACUCCAUGACGCAUGUUGGUGGGGUGGAAAGCCUUGUGCGGCUGAGGAUGGGCCCGCGGCCUAUCAGCUUGUUGGUGGGGUGAGGCCUACCAAGGCGACGACGGGUAGCCGGCCUGAGAGGGCGACCGGCCACACUGGGACUGAGACACGGCCCAGACUCCUACGGGAGGCAGCAGUGGGGAAUCUUGCGCAAUGGGCGAAAGCCUGACGCAGCGACGCCGCGUGAGGGAUGACGGCCUCGG